UGGGGAAUAUUGGACAAUGGGCGCAAGCCUGAUCCAGCCAUGCCGCGUGAGUGAUGAAGGCCCUAGGGUUGUAAAGCUCUUUCACCGGUGAAGAUAAUGACGGUAACCGGAGAAGAAGCCCCGGCUAACUUCGUGCCAGCAGCCGCGGUAAUACGAAGGGGGCUAGCGUUGUUCGGAUUUACUGGGCGUAAAGCGCACGUAGGCGGACUAUUAAGUCAGGGGUGAAAUCCCGGGGCUCAACCCCGGAACUGCCUUUGAUACUGGUAGUCUUGAGUUCGAGAGAGGUGAGUGGAAUUCCGAGUGUAGAGGUGAAAUUCGUAGAUAUUCGGAGGAACACCAGUGGCAAAGGCGGCUCACUGGCUCGAUACUGACGCUGAGGUGCGAAAGCGUGGGGAGCAAACAGG
This 404-nucleotide ribosomal RNA is filed under the name Verrucomicrobiota bacterium. Its description in RNAcentral is "Verrucomicrobia bacterium partial 16S ribosomal RNA". It matches the Rfam family "Bacterial small subunit ribosomal RNA", at positions 355 to 776 of the family's 1533-position model. Lineage: Bacteria; Pseudomonadati; Verrucomicrobiota. The record is from RNAcentral.